Molecule: ribosomal RNA, 608 nt
Filed under: Coscinodiscus wailesii
Lineage: Eukaryota; Bacillariophyta; Coscinodiscophyceae; Coscinodiscales; Coscinodiscaceae
Description: eukaryotic LSU rRNA
Rfam family: Eukaryotic large subunit ribosomal RNA
Source: RNAcentral
AUGCAAAGAACUUUGAAAAGAGAGUUAAAGAGUACCUGAAAUUGCCGCAAGUCAAGCGAAGGAAACCAGUUGCAGACCCUGGGCUAUGCAUCAUUUGUCUACAAGUGAUGCUUUGCCUAGUAGCAGUCACUGUCAGUUAAUAUUUGUUCAAGUUUUGUUUCAGGAGAAAUCCCUUAGGGGUGAUUGCCUGUUACUUUACGCUAAUAUUGACUGAGGGCAGUUAAUUCUGUGGCAGUGGCAAAAUGGUUUUCUUUGUCCCGUCUUGAAACACGGACCAAGGAGUCCAAUGUACAUGCGAGUGCAAGGGUGACAAACCUGCGUGCGUAAUGAAAGUAUCAUUGGUUGGACCCGCAAGGGGCACAAUCUGCCGGCUUCAAUCCCUCGGGAGAAAGGUCUGAGUGUGAGCAUGUGUGUUGGGACCCGAAAGAUGGUGAACUAUGCCUGAAUAGGACGAAGCCAGGGGAAACUCUGGUGGAGGUUCGUAGCAGUUUUGACGUGCAAAUCGAUUGUCAAAUUUGGGCAUAGGGGCGAAAGACCAAUCGAACCAUCUAGUAGCUGGUUCCCUCCGAAAUUUCCCUCAGGAUAGCUGCAACCAAACAUUUUUAUCA